UUAAAUGAUGUGUCCUUUGCUACACUGCAGGUACCUGGUCACAGCUGACUCCUACAGGAGCAUUGCCAACAGCUUCUGUUGAGUGUCUCAACUGUGGUAAGAGGUACCAGAUGCUGCCUCUGCCAUUUGGGAUUGCCUGGUGGAUGAAUUUAUGGCUGUACCCAACACAGAGGAGUGAAGGUCCAUAACCCACAAGUUCGAGGAGCUGUCAUGAGAAUGAUCUGACCAUCAUGGACCCAGCAGACAAUUUGUAUUUAUCUAAGAAGAUUGAAGGGUGCUACCAGUGAAUGGUCUCAUGAGGUUUCUCCUGACUCAGCUCCCAGGCUGACCCCGGUUCCUGUCCCGUCGACCCCUGUCCCUGCCCCGUCGACCCCUGUCUGGGCUCCAUGUCCAGCUCCCAGGCAAAAGCCGGUGCCGGCGACUCCUGUCCUGGCUCAACGCUCGGCUCCCAGGCCUACGCCAGUUCCUGUUCCUGUUCCUGUGCCCAGAGCAAGGCCCCUGUGCUUCCUGUGCCUGGGCUUAGAGCAGCAGCCCUUGCGCAGCUGGCCCCCAGGCCGACACCAGUCCCUGUGCCGGCUCCCCGCUCGGUUCCCAGGCUGACGCUGGUUCCUUUACCAGCUCCCGGGCCGACACCAGUCCCUGUGCUGCCACCCAGGGAAACUAAUCAGGGCAAUCAAAUAAGAGGGAAACACACAAAAACAGGAAGUAAAACUAAACUGGAAAGACAGGGAUCACAAACUACAAAAUAAAACAGCAAUCACAAAAGACUAGACUAUAAUGCAAGAAAAUGAAUAAGAAAACAACACAAGAUCAUUACGUUUCAUUUUAACUACAAAAAUGUAUCAUACUAAAACAAGGCCAUAGUAGUAUCUGAAUGAAAUCAUUAAUACAGUCUAAAAAUACAUCAAAUACUAACUGCAUCUUAUGUCAUGCUAUGUUUACAUUUUAAUAUGCUGUAAAUACCUGGAGAGCUCUGCUAUUUUAACUUGUAAUGCACUAGUGAGUUAAUUAACAGAUUCUUUUAAGUGCACCUUUGAAAGUGAAGCACCCCAGAGACUGUCCUUUAUACACCAAACAUUGUCCUGAACCAUUACUCCCCCCCUCCUCUGCUCCUCUGAUUCAAAGUCGGAUGGUGAAAUAGAAGAGGAGGAAGGGGAAGGGUUAGAUCAAACACAUCGCUAUCUAAAAUGAGAGGAAGAAAUCCAAUUAAGGAUAGAAGAAGAAGAAGGAAAUGUAUGCAAUCAAAUGAAUCCCCUUACCAAAGGCGACUGUAUAACGGUCUCAAAGCCUCGUUGUUUAUGCAUCACAGGAAAGAAAUAAAAGCCAGUGGAGAGAAAUGAACGCUGCAGCAGGGACAGAGAGAUGGCUCCAUGGAUAAUUGGGUAAUAAAGUAACUGAACAUCAUUUUCACUUUGUAUAAAACCAAAUGUUUUACCCUUUUAAUUAAUUUAUCUUCCAUUUAUUAUCGUCAUAGUAAUUUUCCUGAGAGUUUUUGUUGAUCCAGCUCUGAAAAAAUGUGUAUCAUGUAAACAUUUGCUCUCCUGUGAUUUUUGCAUUCAAAUAAAAAUGUAUGAUUGACCUUCAAAGCUUUACAUUACAACCCCUCUUUAUAUCAGAUAUAUGAACUCCCUAAGCCUGAGGCUCUGCUGAGAUUAUGGUGUUUUUAGGUUAUUCUGAGCCCAGCCUUCCUCUCAGUAAGCUUGCUGGACUUAAAGAUAUCGGGUGUCACAGAGCGGGUUAUGAACUUUCUCUGUUAACUCAGACCUUCUUCUUCAGGCCCUGUCACACAAAGGGGGCAUU
Notolabrus celidotus (New Zealand spotty) is the source of this 1800-nucleotide long non-coding RNA. RefSeq lists it as uncharacterized. The transcript has 3 exons. NCBI's taxonomy places the organism in Eukaryota, Metazoa, Chordata, Actinopteri, Labriformes, Labridae. The record is from RefSeq and is a predicted model, not a curated record.